UGGACAGGAGGAGACCCUGAUGGAAGCCCAACUACUCAUUUCAUGUCCAUCUUGCCCACUCCUCCCAUUCCAU
This 73-nucleotide microRNA precursor is filed under the name Tupaia belangeri (northern tree shrew). RNAcentral's name for it is "miRNA (ENSTBEG00000017840.1)". The record is from RNAcentral. Lineage: Eukaryota; Metazoa; Chordata; Mammalia; Scandentia; Tupaiidae.